Molecule: ribosomal RNA, 2840 nt
Filed under: Salmonella enterica subsp. enterica serovar Enteritidis
Lineage: Bacteria; Pseudomonadati; Pseudomonadota; Gammaproteobacteria; Enterobacterales; Enterobacteriaceae
Description: partial 23S ribosomal RNA
Rfam family: Bacterial large subunit ribosomal RNA
Source: RNAcentral
GGUAAGGUGAUAUGAACCGUUAUAACCGGCGAUACCCGAAUGGGGAAACCCAGUGUGAUUCGUCACACUAUCAUUAACUGAAUCCAUAGGUUAAUGAGGCGAACCGGGGGAACUGAAACAUCUAAGUACCCCGAGGAAAAGAAAUCAACCGAGAUUCCCCCAGUAGCGGCGAGCGAACGGGGAGGAGCCCAGAGCCUGAAUCAGCAUGUGUGUUAGUGGAAGCGUCUGGAAAGGCGCGCGAUACAGGGUGACAGCCCCGUACACAAAAGCGCAUGUGCUGUGAGCUCGAUGAGUAGGGCGGGACACGUGGUAUCCUGUCUGAAUAUGGGGGGACCAUCCUCCAAGGCUAAAUACUCCUGACUGACCGAUAGUGAACCAGUACCGUGAGGGAAAGGCGAAAAGAACCCCGGCGAGGGGAGUGAAAAAGAACCUGAAACCGUGUACGUACAAGCAGUGGGAGCACAGGUUUACCUGUGUGACUGCGUACCUUUUGUAUAAUGGGUCAGCGACUUAUAUUCUGUAGCAAGGUUAACCGAAUAGGGGAGCCGGAGGGAAACCGAGUCUUAAUUGGGCGUUAAGUUGCAGGGUAUAGACCCGAAACCCGGUGAUCUAGCCAUGGGCAGGUUGAAGGUUGGGUAACACUAACUGGAGGACCGAACCGACUAAUGUUGAAAAAUUAGCGGAUGACCUGUGGCUGGGGGUGAAAGGCCAAUCAAACCGGGAGAUAGCUGGUUCUCCCCGAAAGCUAUUUAGGUAGCGCCUCGUGAAUUCAUCUCCGGGGGUAGAGCACUGUUUCGGCUAGGGGGCCAUCCCGGCUUACCAACCCGAUGCAAACUGCGAAUACCGGAGAAUGUUAUCACGGGAGACACACGGCGGGUGCUAACGUCCGUCGUGAAGAGGGAAACAACCCAGACCGCCAGCUAAGGUCCCAAAGUCAUGGUUAAGUGGGAAACGAUGUGGGAAGGCCCAGACAGCCAGGAUGUUGGCUUAGAAGCAGCCAUCAUUUAAAGAAAGCGUAAUAGCUCACUGGUCGAGUCGGCCUGCGCGGAAGAUGUAACGGGGCUAAACCAUGCACCGAAGCUGCGGCAGCGACACUGUGUGUUGUUGGGUAGGGGAGCGUUCUGUAAGCCUGCGAAGGUGGCCUGUGAGGGUUGCUGGAGGUAUCAGAAGUGCGAAUGCUGACAUAAGUAACGAUAAAGCGGGUGAAAAGCCCGCUCGCCGGAAGACCAAGGGUUCCUGUCCAACGUUAAUCGGGGCAGGGUGAGUCGACCCCUAAGGCGAGGCCGAAAGGCGUAGUCGAUGGGAAACGGGUUAAUAUUCCCGUACUUGGUGUUACUGCGAAGGGGGGACGGAGAAGGCUAUGUUGGCCGGGCGACGGUUGUCCCGGUUUAAGCGUGUAGGUGUGUGUUCCAGGUAAAUCCGGUUCACUUUAACACUGAGGCGUGACGACGAGGCACUACGGUGCUGAAGCAACAAAUGCCCUGCUUCCAGGAAAAGCCUCUAAGCAUCAGGUAACAUCAAAUCGUACCCCAAACCGACACAGGUGGUCAGGUAGAGAAUACCAAGGCGCUUGAGAGAACUCGGGUGAAGGAACUAGGCAAAAUGGUGCCGUAACUUCGGGAGAAGGCACGCUGACACGUAGGUGAAGUGAUUUACUCAUGGAGCUGAAGUCAGUCGAAGAUACCAGCUGGCUGCAACUGUUUAUUAAAAACACAGCACUGUGCAAACACGAAAGUGGACGUAUACGGUGUGACGCCUGCCCGGUGCCGGAAGGUUAAUUGAUGGGGUCAGCGCAAGCGAAGCUCCUGAUCGAAGCCCCGGUAAACGGCGGCCGUAACUAUAACGGUCCUAAGGUAGCGAAAUUCCUUGUCGGGUAAGUUCCGACCUGCACGAAUGGCGUAAUGAUGGCCAGGCUGUCUCCACCCGAGACUCAGUGAAAUUGAACUCGCUGUGAAGAUGCAGUGUACCCGCGGCAAGACGGAAAGACCCCGUGAACCUUUACUAUAGCUUGACACUGAACAUUGAGCCUUGAUGUGUAGGAUAGGUGGGAGGCUUUGAAGUGUGGACGCCAGUCUGCAUGGAGCCGACCUUGAAAUACCACCCUUUAAUGUUUGAUGUUCUAACGUGGACCCGUUACCCGGGUUGCGGACAGUGUCUGGUGGGUAGUUUGACUGGGGCGGUCUCCUCCUAAAGAGUAACGGAGGAGCACGAAGGUUGGCUAAUCCUGGUCGGACAUCAGGAGGUUAGUGCAAUGGCAUAAGCCAGCUUGACUGCGAGCGUGACGGCGCGAGCAGGUGCGAAAGCAGGUCAUAGUGAUCCGGUGGUUCUGAAUGGAAGGGCCAUCGCUCAACGGAUAAAAGGUACUCCGGGGAUAACAGGCUGAUACCGCCCAAGAGUUCAUAUCGACGGCGGUGUUUGGCACCUCGAUGUCGGCUCAUCACAUCCUGGGGCUGAAGUAGGUCCCAAGGGUAUGGCUGUUCGCCAUUUAAAGUGGUACGCGAGCUGGGUUUAGAACGUCGUGAGACAGUUCGGUCCCUAUCUGCCGUGGGCGCUGGAGAACUGAGGGGGGCUGCUCCUAGUACGAGAGGACCGGAGUGGACGCAUCACUGGUGUUCGGGUUGUCAUGCCAAUGGCACUGCCCGGUAGCUAAAUGCGGAAGAGAUAAGUGCUGAAAGCAUCUAAGCACGAAACUUGCCCCGAGAUGAGUUCUCCCUGAGACUUAGAGUCUCCUGAAGGAACGUUGAAGACGACGACGUUGAUAGGCCGGGUGUGUAAGCGCAGCGAUGCGUUGAGCUAACCGGUACUAAUGAACCGUGAGGCUUAACCUUACAACGCCGAAG